GAGUUUGAUCCUGGCUCAGAUUGAACGCUGGCGGCAGGCCUAACACAUGCAAGUCGAGCGGUAGAGAGAAGCUUGCUUCUCUUGAGAGCGGCGGACGGGUGAGUAAUGCCUAGGAAUCUGCCUGGUAGUGGGGGAUAACGUUCGGAAACGGACGCUAAUACCGCAUACGUCCUACGGGAGAAAGCAGGGGACCUUCGGGCCUUGCGCUAUCAGAUGAGCCUAGGUCGGAUUAGCUAGUUGGUGAGGUAAUGGCUCACCAAGGCGACGAUCCGUAACUGGUCUGAGAGGAUGAUCAGUCACACUGGAACUGAGACACGGUCCAGACUCCUACGGGAGGCAGCAGUGGGGAAUAUUGGACAAUGGGCGAAAGCCUGAUCCAGCCAUGCCGCGUGUGUGAAGAAGGUCUUCGGAUUGUAAAGCACUUUAAGUUGGGAGGAAGGGUACUUACCUAAUACGUGAGUAUUUUGACGUUACCGACAGAAUAAGCACCGGCUAACUCUGUGCCAGCAGCCGCGGUAAUACAGAGGGUGCAAGCGUUAAUCGGAAUUACUGGGCGUAAAGCGCGCGUAGGUGGUUCGUUAAGUUGGAUGUGAAAUCCCCGGGCUCAACCUGGGAACUGCAUCCAAAACUGGCGAGCUAGAGUAUGGUAGAGGGUGGUGGAAUUUCCUGUGUAGCGGUGAAAUGCGUAGAUAUAGGAAGGAACACCAGUGGCGAAGGCGACCACCUGGACUGAUACUGACACUGAGGUGCGAAAGCGUGGGGAGCAAACAGGAUUAGAUACCCUGGUAGUCCACGCCGUA
RNAcentral lists this ribosomal RNA (800 nucleotides) under uncultured Pseudomonas sp. Its description in RNAcentral is "bacterial SSU rRNA". It matches the Rfam family "Bacterial small subunit ribosomal RNA", at positions 9 to 804 of the family's 1533-position model. The record is from RNAcentral. Lineage: Bacteria; Pseudomonadati; Pseudomonadota; Gammaproteobacteria; Pseudomonadales; Pseudomonadaceae.